RNAcentral lists this small RNA (819 nucleotides) under Oryza sativa Japonica Group (Japanese rice). RNAcentral's name for it is "sRNA Os01g0367450". Lineage: Eukaryota; Viridiplantae; Streptophyta; Magnoliopsida; Poales; Poaceae. The record is from RNAcentral.
UAACCAAAGAAAAAACAACUGCCAGAGGAAUCACAUUCACAUCAAUGCUUUAAUAUUGAAUUGAAACCGUAAAAUGUUGUGAUAUACAUGGAUACUAAUUGCUCAAACCAAGGAAUUCUGUGAAGCUUGGAUACUUCGGUUGCCACCCAAUCUCAGCACGAGUUUUGGAAUUCUCCAUCCUCUUCCCUAAAGGACCAUCAGGACUACCUGUGAAGCCUUGAAACUUCGUAUCAAAUUUCCCACUUCUAUUAACAAGAUGAAGUUUGUAGUUACCUAGAUAGAGGCUGAUUGUCACAACCAACAAAAACACGAGCACGUAGUCUCCUUUUCAUAAUGGCAAUUGCAAGAGAAGCAGCAUCUUCAUAGUGUAUCAGAUUGAGUAUGUGAUCUGGACGUGAAUCAAAAGUUCCCUUCGAUAACCAAAAAAUGUGAGGACCUUUAUCACUCUUGUGUGGUAUGUCAAGGAGAUAUAACAGUUAUGUCCAUUCUAUUACAGAAGUGUAUGGGGGCACAGGUAUAUUUAAUAAUAUUUUUGCAUUAAGUUUUGAAACAAAGUCGCCUCUUAGUAAGGAUAUAUAAAGUCCUACAAGCCGGAGAACACUUCCUCCUGCCUCAAGGACGGCAUUUUCAGCUUUUAGGAGCACAUCAGUACGAGGGCUCCUACCAAUUGGCACACAAGGAGAAUCCUCACUACACAAUCCAUUGUCACUGCAGUCAUACACAGCAGUGCUCGAUGUAAACAGGAAAGAGCCUUGUCCAUUCCAGUUUGAUGCUGCCACUCUGCACAUAUUUUAUGAAAUAAGAACGUUCAUGUCCUUG